This 626-nucleotide ribosomal RNA is filed under the name uncultured bacterium. RNAcentral's name for it is "bacterial SSU rRNA". It matches the Rfam family "Bacterial small subunit ribosomal RNA", at positions 249 to 885 of the family's 1533-position model. The record is from RNAcentral.
UUGGUGGGGUAAUGGCCUACCAAGGCGACGACGGGUAGCCGGCCUGAGAGGGCGACCGGCCACACUGGGACUGAGACACGGCCCAGACUCCUACGGGAGGCAGCAGUGGGGAAUAUUGCACAAUGGGCGGAAGCCUGAUGCAGCGACGCCGCGUGAGGGAUGACGGUCUUCGGGUUGUAAACCUCUUUCAGCAGGGACGAAGCGCAAGUGACGGUACCUGCAGAAGAAGCGCCGGCCAACUACGUGCCAGCAGCCGCGGUAAGACGUAGGGCGCGAGCGUUGUCCGGAUUUAUUGGGCGUAAAGAGCUCGUAGGCGGCUUGUCGCGUCGACUGUGAAAUCCCGCGGCUCAACUGCGGGUCUGCAGUCGAUACGGGCAGGCUAGAGUUCGGUAGGGGAGACUGGAAUUCCUGGUGUAGCGGUGAAAUGCGCAGAUAUCAGGAGGAACACCGAUGGCGAAGGCAGGUCUCUGGGCCGAUACUGACGCUGAGGAGCGAAAGCGUGGGGAGCGAACAGGAUUAGAUACCCUGGUAGUCCACGCUGUAAACGUUGGGCGCUAGGUGUGGGGGACCUCUCCGGUUCUCUGUGCCGCAGCUAACGCAUUAAGCGCCCCGCCUGGGGAGUACGG